UGGGAGAGAGUAAUAUUAUUUACAUGGGACUGUAUGUUGAUGGCGGCUGUGGCAGGAAGUGAUGUUAUUUACAAAGGACUGUAUGUUGAUGGCUGCUGUGGGAGGGAGUAUAGUGGAGACAAAAUAGUGUUUUUUACAUCGGACUGUAUAUUGGCGGGGCUGAAGGGAGGGGAGUGAUGUUAUUUACAUGGGACUGUAUUUUGGAGGGGGCAGAAGAGAUGGUGUGAUGUUAUUUACAUGGGACUGUAUAGUGGAGGUAGGAAUAUAACUACAAAUUAUAAAUACUGGGAACAAUUUAGGGCGAGCAUUAUAACAGUAAAGGCAGUAUAAAUGCUGUGGGUACUGUAGGAGCAUUUUAAAUCCAGGGGACAUUAGGUGUUCUUAUUACUACUAAGAGCACUAUUGGGGCCUUAUUACUACUGAGAUGUCUGUAAAGAGCGUUAUUACUACUGGGGGAACAAUAGGGAGGCCUUAUUUCUACUGGGGGCUCUGUGCGGACAUUAAUAAUUACUGAAGGGCUCUUCUACUAAUGGAGGCACUGUAGGGGGCAGUAUUACUAAUGAGGGCAUUCUAGAAGGGAAUUACUAUUGGAGGGACUUGGAUGGGCACCAUUACUAUGGGGGGGAGACUAUCUGUAUGGCACUAAUAUUUAUUUCAGGAUAGUAUUUUGAGGUAUUGGGGAGCACAGCAAGCAGCAGGAUAACACUGUGGAAACUCCAGGUUGGGGGAUGAUGAUAGAAAUGUGAGGACGCUAAUAUGUCUGUGUGUCACACUCUGCAGAGACGAGAAAUGGCUGAAGAAGUUGUCAGGAUCGAAUGGACGAAGAUGAUGACAGAGAAGAUCUACAUCAGAGGAGACAUCACCUGGGAGGCCCUGGAUGUGAGAGUGUUAGACCACUGAUUGGCUAAAGGGGUGACAUGACACGAAUCUGCAUGUCCCUGAUGCAGUUUUUAAACAAGCAGCAACAGGAGGACCAGACUGGCUAUGCAGAGAAUGGUGCUGCAGAAAGGGGU
This is a long non-coding RNA of Bufo gargarizans (Asiatic toad), 1013 nucleotides long. RefSeq lists it as uncharacterized. The transcript has 2 exons. The record is from RefSeq and is a predicted model, not a curated record. Lineage: Eukaryota; Metazoa; Chordata; Amphibia; Anura; Bufonidae.